RNAcentral lists this ribosomal RNA (377 nucleotides) under uncultured bacterium. RNAcentral describes it as "bacterial SSU rRNA". It matches the Rfam family "Bacterial small subunit ribosomal RNA", at positions 524 to 898 of the family's 1533-position model. The record is from RNAcentral.
GACGAACCAAGCGAACGUUAUUCGGAAUUACUGGGCUUAAAGCGCGUGUAGGCGGAUGACCACGUCAGUCGUUGAAAUCCCCCGGCUCAACCGGGGAACAGGCGCUGAUACGAGUUGUCUGGAGGUGGGUAGGGGAGACUGGAACUUCCGGUGGAGCGGUGAAAUGCGUUGAGAUCGGAAGGAACGCCCGCGGCGAAAGCGAGUCUCUGGACCCAUACUGACGCUGAGACGCGAAAGCCAGGGGAGCAAACGGGAUUAGAUACCCCGGUAGUCCUGGCUGUAAACAUUGGGCACUGGGUAGUGGAACCGCCGAUGGUUUCACUGCCGCAGGGAAACCGUGAAGUGCCCCGCCUGGGGAGUAUGGUCGCAAGGCUGAA